AAAGGAAUAGACGGGGGCCCGCACAAGCAGUGGAGUAUGUGGUUUAAUUCGACGCAACGCGAAGAACCUUACCAGGGCUUGACAUCAACUGAAAGCGUAAGAGAUUACGCCCUCGCCUUCGGGCGACAGGAAGACAGGUGGUGCAUGGUUGUCGUCAGCUCGUGUCGUGAGAUGUUCGGUUAAGUCCGGCAACGAGCGCAACCCCUGUCGUCAGUUGCCAUCAUUUGGUUGGGCACUCUGACGAGACCGCCGUUGACAAAACGGAGGAAGGUGGGGAUGACGUCAAAUCAUCAUGCCCCUUAUGUCCUGGGCUACACACGUACUACAAUGGUAACCACAGAGGGCAGCGACACCGCGAGGUGAAGCGAAUCCCAAAAGGUUAUCUCAGUUCAGAUUGCAGGCUGCAACUCGCCUGCAUGAAGCAGGAAUUGCUAGUAAUGGCAGGUCAGCAUACUGCCGUGAAUACGUUCCCGGGCCUUGUACACACCGCCCGU
This 494-nucleotide ribosomal RNA is filed under the name uncultured bacterium. Its description in RNAcentral is "bacterial SSU rRNA". It matches the Rfam family "Bacterial small subunit ribosomal RNA", at positions 903 to 1397 of the family's 1533-position model. The record is from RNAcentral.